GUCUCUUUUUCUCUCUCCCACACACAGACACUUGCUUUCUUGUUCUCCUUUUGAACUUUUUUCCAUUUCAACUCUUCUCAUGUCUGCUAUAUGCAUAAAAGGUUGAGGGGAAUGUUGUCCGGCUCGAAAUCAUUCAUAAAUAUAUCUAACAUAACAUUUAUGAGUGAUUUCGGACCAGGCUUCAUUCCCCUCAACAACAAUAGAGACAUUAUUAACAAUUAUCUUCAUCUAGAAUAAGUACUAAGGAAAUUGGAGACCAGAAAAGAACUGCAAAAUUUGCUAUGUAGGACUAAUUGGUAAUUGGACAAGAUUCCAGAUCAGACCCGACUGCUCAGAUUUCAAGUUGAAUGCAUGUAGUCCUUGAGGGCGUGCAAGACGGACUACCGCACAGGAUACAAAAAUUUGUAUUUGAGAAACUGUGGUUGAAUGCGUCAAAUUAUUGACUACAGUAAAUCCGAUUUCAAUUUCGGGACAUUUUGGGUGAUAAAAUCAUCAUUUGCAGAUAUUGCAGUUUUAGGUGACAGGAAAAUCUAAGACAGUAGACUGUGAAAAUCACUCGAGUAUCACUCUGUCAUUGUCCUUCCAUUUUGCACAAAGGGUGAAAAGAACAGUAUAGCUUUUUUGGCAUACUUCACCUAUGAGGGAAAUAAAAUUACCUGAAGCAGAAUAGUACAAUACAAACGCUAUAAUCAUUCACAUUUUUGGCAUCAUAUAAAUUUGUAACGUCAUCUGAAAACCAGGUUCUGCAACACACUCAAAAUUUACAUUAAUAUGUAGAACAGUAGAAGUAGGCAAGCUCUAGUAUCUACAUUUUGCAGCAUUGAUGCAUCCAGAUGAUAAUCAAAUUUAUGAAAAUCGAUAUCAUCAUGAGUAGACAAGUUCUUAGACACAUACGCGGACAUUUUAGAUUGAAAGUGUUUCUGAUCUAUGAAACGUGUCGGCGGUAUAUAACAUAUUAUCUUAUUUUCUCAAAUUAUUACUAGUGUUCAUUUU
Molecule: long non-coding RNA, 993 nt
Organism: Lathyrus oleraceus (garden pea)
Lineage: Eukaryota; Viridiplantae; Streptophyta; Magnoliopsida; Fabales; Fabaceae
Exons: 2
Source: RefSeq, a predicted model, not a curated record